AGAGUUUGAUUAUGGCUCAGGAUGAACGUUGGCGGCGUGCUUAACACAUGCAAGUCGAACGAGGUCCAACCUUCGGGUGAAGACCGAGUGGCGAUCGGGUGAGUAACACGUGGGGAACCUGCCCUUCUCUCUGGGAUAACCUCGGGAAACCGAAGCUAAUACCGGAUACUCCUUGCGGACCGCAUGGUCUGCUCGGGAAAGCUCCGGCGGAGAAGGAUGGCCCCGCGGCCCAUUAGCUUGUUGGUGGGGUAACGGCCCACCAAGGCGACGAUGGGUAGCCGAGCUGAGAGGCUGAUCGGCCACACUGGGACUGAGACACGGCCCAGACUCCUACGGGAGGCAGCAGUGGGGAAUCUUGCGCAAUGGGCGAAAGCCUGACGCAGCAACGCCGCGUGCGGGAUGAAGGCUCUCGGGUCGUAAACCGCUUUCAGCAGGGAUGAAAAUGACAGUACCUGCAGAAGAAGCCCCGGCUAAAUACGUGCCAGCAGCCGCGGUAAUACGUAUGGGGCAAGCGUUAUCCGGAUUCAUUGGGCGUAAAGCGCGCGUAGGCGGCUUGUUAAGUCAGGCGUGAAAUCCGGGGGCUCAACCCGCGGCUUGCGUCUGAAACUGGCAGGCUUGAGUCUGGUAGAGGAAAGUGGAAUUCCUGGUGUAGCGGUGAAAUGCGCAGAUAUCAGGAGGAACACCAGUGGCGAAGGCGGCUUUCUGGGCCACGACUGACGCUGAGGCGCGAAAGCUAGGGGAGCGAACAGGAUUAGAUACCCUGGUAGUC
This 769-nucleotide ribosomal RNA is filed under the name uncultured Actinomycetes bacterium. RNAcentral describes it as "bacterial SSU rRNA". It matches the Rfam family "Bacterial small subunit ribosomal RNA", at positions 8 to 795 of the family's 1533-position model. Lineage: Bacteria; Bacillati; Actinomycetota; Actinomycetes. The record is from RNAcentral.